RNAcentral lists this ribosomal RNA (415 nucleotides) under uncultured bacterium. RNAcentral describes it as "bacterial SSU rRNA". It matches the Rfam family "Bacterial small subunit ribosomal RNA", at positions 355 to 794 of the family's 1533-position model. The record is from RNAcentral.
UGGGGAAUUUUGGACAAUGGGCGCAAGCCUGAUCCAGCAAUGCCGCGUGCAGGACGAAGGCCUUCGGGUUGUAAACUGCUUUUGUACGGAGCGCGGUACCGUAAGAAUAAGCACCGGCUAACUACGUGCCAGCAGCCGCGGUAAUACGUAGGGUGCGAGCGUUAAUCGGAAUUACUGGGCGUAAAGCGUGCGCAGGCGGUUUUGUAAGACAGGCGUGAAAUCCCCGGGCUCAACCUGGGAAUGGCGCUUGUGACUGCAAAGCUGGAGUGCGGCAGAGGGGGAUGGAAUUCCGCGUGUAGCAGUGAAAUGCGUAGAUAUGCGGAGGAACACCGAUGGCGAAGGCAAUCCCCUGGGCCUGCACUGACGCUCAUGCACGAAAGCGUGGGGAGCAAACAGGAUUAGAUACCCUAGUAGU